UUACGAUCGAUGAACAAGAGAGUAUGGCAAAGUACAUGCAAAAAGCGAGCCGGGGAUGGUGAAAGCCUGGUGCAGCAGCUUUGUCUGAAACGCACUUGCGAGAUGUACGCUGAACGAAUGGAGUAGGCGUCACCGGAUAAAGCGUCCGUUAUUUGCUUAGAGUUGGUAUUCAUCAUUUUUUGCUGAUGAAUGCAAUUGGAGUGGUACCGCGGGCCUAAACACCCGUCUCCUGC
Molecule: non-coding RNA, 233 nt
Filed under: Jeotgalibacillus soli
Lineage: Bacteria; Bacillati; Bacillota; Bacilli; Caryophanales; Caryophanaceae
Description: T-box sequence
Rfam family: T-box leader
About the family: Uncharged tRNA acts as the effector for transcription antitermination of genes in the T-box leader family.
Source: RNAcentral